Molecule: ribosomal RNA, 253 nt
Filed under: uncultured bacterium
Lineage: Bacteria
Description: partial 16S ribosomal RNA
Rfam family: Bacterial small subunit ribosomal RNA
Source: RNAcentral
UACAGAGGUGGCAAGCGUUGUUCGGAAUUACUGGGCGUAAAGGGCGCGUAGGCGGUCCCGUCAGUCCCUUGUGAAAUCCCCCGGCUCAACUGGGGAACUGCAAGGGAUACAGCGGGGCUUGAGUUCGGGAGAGGGAAGCGGAAUUCCAGGUGUAGCGGUGAAAUGCGUAGAUAUCUGGAGGAACACCGGUGGCGAAGGCGGCAUCCUGGACCAAUAUUGACGCUGAGGAGCGAAAGCCAGGGGAGCAAACGGG